RNAcentral lists this ribosomal RNA (253 nucleotides) under uncultured bacterium. Its description in RNAcentral is "partial 16S ribosomal RNA". It matches the Rfam family "Bacterial small subunit ribosomal RNA", at positions 524 to 776 of the family's 1533-position model. The record is from RNAcentral.
UACGUAGGGGGCAAGCGUUGUCCGGAAUCAUUGGGCGUAAAGAGCGUGUAGGCGGCUCGGUAAGUCCGCUGUGAAAGUCCAGGGCUCAACCCUGGAAUGCCGGAGGAAACUGUCGAGCUCGAGUCCGGAAGAGGCGAGUGGAAUUCCUGGUGUAGCGGUGAAAUGCGCAGAUAUCAGGAGGAACACCAAUGGCGAAGGCAGCUCCCUGGGACGGUACUGACGCUGAGACGCGAAAGCGUGGGGAGCAAACAGG